CAGAUUGAACGCUGGCGGCAGGCCUAACACAUGCAAGUCGAACGGUAACAGGAAGCAGCUUGCUGCUUUGCUGACGAGUGGCGGACGGGUGAGUAAUGUCUGGGAAACUGCCUGAUGGAGGGGGAUAACUACUGGAAACGGUGGCUAAUACCGCAUAACGUCGCAAGACCAAAGAGGGGGACCUUCGGGCCUCUUGCCAUCAGAUGUGCCCAGAUGGGAUUAGCUUGUUGGUGAGGUAACGGCUCACCAAGGCGACGAUCCCUAGCUGGUCUGAGAGGAUGACCAGCCACACUGGAACUGAGACACGGUCCAGACUCCUACGGGAGGCAGCAGUGGGGAAUAUUGCACAAUGGGCGCAAGCCUGAUGCAGCCAUGCCGCGUGUAUGAAGAAGGCCUUCGGGUUGUAAAGUACUUUCAGCGGGGAGGAAGGUGUUGUGGUUAAUAACCGCAGCAAUUGACGUUACCCGCAGAAGAAGCACCGGCUAACUCCGUGCCAGCAGCCGCGGUAAUACGGAGGGUGCAAGCGUUAAUCGGAAUUACUGGGCGUAAAGCGCACGCAGGCGGUCUGUCAAGUCGGAUGUGAAAUCCCCGGGCUCAACCUGGGAACUGCAUUCGAAACUGGCAGGCUUGAGUCUUGUAGAGGGGGGUAGAAUUCCAGGUGUAGCGGUGAAAUGCGUAGAGAUCUGGAGGAAUACCGGUGGCGAAGGCGGCCCCCUGGACAAAGACUGACGCUCAGGUGCGAAAGCGUGGGGAGCAAACAGGAUUAGAUACCCUGGUAGUCCACGCCGUAAACGAUGUCUACUUGGAGGUUGUGCCCUUGAGGCGUGGCUUCCGGAGCUAACGCGUUAAGUAGACCGCCUGGGGAGUACGGCCGCAAGGUUAAAACUCAAAUGAAUUGACGGGGGCCCGCACAAGCGGUGGAGCAUGUGGUUUAAUUCGAUGCAACGCGAAGAACCUUACCUGGUCUUGACAUCCACAGAAGAAUCCAGAGAUGGAUUUGUGCCUUCGGGAACUGUGAGACAGGUGCUGCAUGGCUGUCGUCAGCUCGUGUUGUGAAAUGUUGGGUUAAGUCCCGCAACGAGCGCAACCCUUAUCCUUUGUUGCCAGCGGUUAGGCCGGGAACUCAAAGGAGACUGCCAGUGAUAAACUGGAGGAAGGUGGGGAUGACGUCAAGUCAUCAUGGCCCUUACGACCAGGGCUACACACGUGCUACAAUGGCGCAUACAAAGAGAAGCGACCUCGCGAGAGCAAGCGGACCUCAUAAAGUGCGUCGUAGUCCGGAUUGGAGUCUGCAACUCGACUCCAUGAAGUCGGAAUCGCUAGUAAUCGUGGAUCAGAAUGCCACGGUGAAUACGUUCCCGGGCCUUGUACACACCGCCCGUCACACCAUGGGAGUGGGUUGCAAAAGAAGUAGGUAGCUUAACCUUCGGGAGGGCGCUUACCACUUUGUGAUUCAUGACUGGGGUGAAGUCGUAACAAGGUAACCGUAGGGGAACCUGCGGUUGGA
This 1507-nucleotide ribosomal RNA is filed under the name Salmonella enterica. RNAcentral describes it as "bacterial SSU rRNA". It matches the Rfam family "Bacterial small subunit ribosomal RNA". The record is from RNAcentral. RNAcentral also lists the same sequence under 1 other name. Lineage: Bacteria; Pseudomonadati; Pseudomonadota; Gammaproteobacteria; Enterobacterales; Enterobacteriaceae.